Long non-coding RNA from Prunus dulcis (almond), 957 nucleotides. RefSeq lists it as uncharacterized. The record is from RefSeq and is a predicted model, not a curated record. Lineage: Eukaryota; Viridiplantae; Streptophyta; Magnoliopsida; Rosales; Rosaceae. The transcript is spliced from 3 exons.
UACCGACCUGCAGAUUCAUCACAAAAAUUGGGACUGAAAUCGGACCGGUUCAAUUUGGUAUUCAACCUAAGUUAAUUUAGUUGGUGAACUCGGCAUUUUUUAUAUUUUAGUAUUUAAAUCUCCUUCGGCCCAGUUCAAUCCGGUUGAUCGGUUCUGAAGUUCCAAUGCCCACCCUUAUAAUAUUAGUAGGUUGAUCUUGUCUUUUUUUGACCCCAACUUAUUUUAUCAGUGUGGCUGACCUUAGGCAAUAUAUAGCGGUUAAAGAGCCUUAGGGAGCAGAGCCUGUGGGUUGUGGUGGAAUAGUUAAUCAAUGAAGAACUUUUUUGAUUUGUUUGCUCGGAUGACCGAGAUUAAAAACAAUACAGCGGUGGAGGUUGAAAUAAGAGAGGUCGAGAGAGGUGAUGUCUCGGUGGGAAGGCUAGUUGCUAAGAUGCCACCUGCGGGUCGCAAUUUGAUAAGAGCUAAGAAAUUCCUAGAUCAUAGUUCUUAUACUGGUGUUCCCAGAACCGUUCAUGUCAUCGCAACUGCUAAUGGUACGAGGACCACGACGGUCCUUUCAGCACAGUAUUUCAAUACCAACGGACGAGUCACCUUUCUUCUAGAAAAUGGAAAACUGGUGGCGGAGGCAGAAACGAUCCCCCCAAAAAGCAUCAUCAUGAGGGGUAUUGGGCGUUUCUCACACUCUACACGGGUAUACUCAUGAGUUUGCUGAGAACCGGAUGGAGUUCGUGGAAAUGGGUUUCAAGUUGGUGAAUUUUGUGUUGGACAAGAUAGUAUUUCAUGGUUUCUGUUCAGGUUUGUGUUGCAGGAAGCCGUGACAAUAUGGGCUAGUUUGUUUUUGUUUUGCUUUCAAUAAAACUGCUUUAAAAAGCAGUUAAGAGUGUUUCAUAAUCUGAGUUUUUAAAUGUUAUGUCCCAGUUUUGUAAAAAUUUAUGUAAAAGGGACGUGUUAUUUACU